AUAAAAAAACUUAUUAUAACUUGUUGUUAAUAUUUUGAUAUAUGUGUAAUAGGCCCAAUUAGCUCGGGCCCGCACCAAAUGAACCAAACCAAACAAAAAAAUAAAAAAAUUAAAAACAGUCCAUUACAAUAAAAGAGCCCAAAUUACAGCAGGCCUAUGUGGCCCAAACCCAAAACAAAACAGCAAGCCCAAAGUCCUAACCCAAAUCAAACCCUAGCCCAACAAAGUUCAGUGAACAGAAAAGAAGGAACCUUAGGGGGUGCCGCAUGGCCGCCUCGCGCUCCUCACGCACACCUGUGCCGACGCCGCCGAAGUCUCCACUGAUUGACCUGCAAACAACACAAAAAAAGAAACAAGCAGCAAAAAACAAAAUAUCAGCAACAAUGACAGCAAAUAAUGAAAACAUAAUAGGAAAGUAGAAUAUUUUUUUAUGUUAUUUUCCUUUUAUUUGGCUGUAAAAAGCCAUCAAAAAAUCUGUAAAUGGGAGAUACUGAUUUUACAAAAAAUAAAACACAGAGAAAGUGAAUAGAGAAGGUGAUUUGUGGUUUCUACUUCGUUUCUUUUCGGUUUUUCUUUUGCUUGAUUUUCAUUUUUUUUAUAAAAGAUAAAAUAAAAAAAGGAGCGACUCACCUGGCUUCGGGAACCGUUCGCAACGGCUCCACGGCGGGCACAGCAGCGGCAGCAUGGAUGCUAGGUUCGAAACCCUAGCAGAGCAAAAGAGGGGGC
RNAcentral lists this long non-coding RNA (726 nucleotides) under Gossypium barbadense (sea-island cotton). Its description in RNAcentral is "long non-coding RNA (GBAR_LNC016924)". The record is from RNAcentral. Lineage: Eukaryota; Viridiplantae; Streptophyta; Magnoliopsida; Malvales; Malvaceae.